Molecule: non-coding RNA, 72 nt
Organism: Cyphomyrmex costatus
Lineage: Eukaryota; Metazoa; Arthropoda; Insecta; Hymenoptera; Formicidae
Source: Rfam
UCCUCCUGAAAGACAUGGGUAGUGAGAUGUUCUUACGCAAUCGCGUCUCACUAUCUUGUCUUUCAUGCGGCG